This is a non-coding RNA of Triticum urartu, 418 nucleotides long. The record is from RefSeq and is a predicted model, not a curated record. Lineage: Eukaryota; Viridiplantae; Streptophyta; Magnoliopsida; Poales; Poaceae.
UCCCCGAGGAGGACGGUGACGGCGGAAGGGGCCUCGACAAGGGCUUCGGCUUCAACAAGGGCUUCGCCGCCAAGUACGACCUCGGGGACGAGGUCGGGAGGGGCCACUUCGGCUACACCUGCGCCGCCAGGAUCAGGAAGGGGGCGCGCAAGGGGGACGCCGUCGCCGUCAAGCUCAUCCCCAAGGCCAAGGUUUGAAGGCGCCUGACAAGCCCAUCGUCGCGCCGCCGACCUGCUGAAAUUCGAGGUCGGCACCCAUGCGAACUCAGGUAACCUUGGUCGUGCUUGACAGUUAGCCUUUUAAAUAGCAAGUGGGGUAUGUGUGUGUUGCAUCUGAUGUGCGAGAGCUCAACCUGGUGAGCUCCUGGGAGAAGAAAAAAGGAGCCACAACAGCCCUGGCGAGCUCGAGAUGACGACGG